UUUAUUUGGGCAUAUACCAAUUUUAAUGACUUUUAUUUAAAUAGAUUUAACUAUUAAAUUAUUUUUAUAUAAUUUUUAUUUAAUUAAUAAUUAGACUUAUAAAACUAUAUAAAAAUAUUAAAAAAAUAAAAUUUAUUGUAAAAAUAUUUUAGAUCCGCAGCAUCGCCCGGGUAUUUCACUAGUAAUACAUAUAGGAACCUAGCAGGGAAUACACAGGACAGUGACACGUGGCUCACGGAGAGCAUUGCAUUUCGCGGAGGCACCACUUCGUACAUGUCACUAGCUAAGCUAGUGGGGGGUUUUACGGUGCUGUGCAUAAAUUCUUACAUGCGACGCAUGCAUAAUGCAUUUCACACACAUGAAAUGAAUCCUCCUCAGAUCCACCUCACGAGUACUGUAACUACUGUUACAUAUAGUACUAAUCCAAUAUUGCCACCGACCGUCACCGGCGCAAGUGACAAAAGAUUUAGUGGUCGGUAUCCGAAGUUUCAAGUUCGAAUCUUAAUUGUUUCAUAUUUUCAGUUAAAUUUAUUUCUAAAAAAAUAAACAAAGCAGGUAACAUGUUACCUAUCUCUCUCAAAAAAAAAAAAUCAAUAUUGCUUUAAAAAAAGAAGAAAAAACUUCAAAAAUCUCUCUUGUAGUUUCACACUCUUUUAUUUUAGUACCAUAUAGUUCAAAGUGUAUAAAGUUAGUACCAUAUGGUUUCGCACUUUCUCACUUUAGUAUCAUAUGGUUUAAAGUGUAUUAAGUUAGUACUCUAUGAUUUUAUUUUUGUAUUAAGUUAAUACCUUGUGGUUUUAUUUUUGUAUCAAGUUAGUGCCCUGUUGUUUUAUUUUUCUCUUAAUGAAAUAUUAAACCACAGGGUACUAAAAUGAAAAAGUGUGAAACCACAGGGUACUAACUUGAUACACUUUAAACUACAGGGUACUAAAGUGAGAAAGUGCAAAACCACAGAAUACUAACUUGAUACAUUUUAAACCACAUGGUACUAAAGUGAGAAAGAGCGAAACCACUUAGAAGUUUUCCCAAAAAAAGAACCUAUCUCUCUCAAAAAAAAAAAAAAAUUCAAUAUUGCUUUAAAAAAGAAAAAUGCUGCAUGUUACUAAAUAUUUACUAGAUCAUAUGAUAUUUUUUGUCAAAAAAAUGUAUAAAUUGUUUAAGAUUUUUAGUAUUCAAACAAAAAAAAACUUGAUUAAUUACACUAACAGCCGAGAACAGGAGCUAUUAGAACAGUUCAAUGUAUAUCUUAAUUAGGAGCAAUUGCUUAUAUACUUCUGUCCGCUCUUAAAAAACUAAUAUUAAAAAUAUCUUUCUUAAUUACGUUUCAAGUUUAUUUCAAAUAUAUCCUUAGAAUUAAAUUCUGUUAGUAAACUGUUAGCAAUAGUCAUUAUCUCUUUGAAAUUAUAAUUUUAUCCUUUCAAAUAUACCCUUUUACUACUUUUAAGUUAGCAGUAAAAAGAGUAUUUUAAUUUGUGGUCUUUCCAAAUAUAUCCUUCUAUCAUCACCAAUCAUCAUGUUCUACAUUAAGAAUUUCAGCGACAAAUAACUUUUCUUAUUUGCCCUUAAGUUAAGAACAAAAGAGGAAUUUUAAUUUUUUUUUAAUUCUAGUAGACAUUUAACUCGGGUUUAAUCCGAGAUAUAUUUAACGGGUAGUAACUGCAGGAAUAUUUUUAAAUAAUGGAGAAACGUAUGAUGGGUAUAUUAGAAACAAAAAAAAAAAAGUAAGAAUAAAUCAAAUAUUUUUGAAUUUUUGAGGG
This 1757-nucleotide long non-coding RNA is filed under the name Ananas comosus (pineapple). Its description in RNAcentral is "long non-coding RNA (ACOM_LNC012890)". Lineage: Eukaryota; Viridiplantae; Streptophyta; Magnoliopsida; Poales; Bromeliaceae. The record is from RNAcentral.